This 1279-nucleotide long non-coding RNA is filed under the name Homo sapiens (human). Its description in RNAcentral is "HSALNT0337112". Lineage: Eukaryota; Metazoa; Chordata; Mammalia; Primates; Hominidae. The record is from RNAcentral.
CAAACACGGGCCUCGGGGCAGCAGUUCUGGUGAAGGGGAAAGGAGAAGCCCCAGAAAGCUUCAUGGUCACGCCACGUAUGGGAUGCUCGGCAGCUGCCCUGGCUGGGAUCUAACAACAGGAAGCCAGCGGACCUCACGGGGCCAUUCCCAGGCUUAGAUUGAAGGGAGUAAGUUGGGGAGUUGAGGGUAAAAGGAGCAGCAGUGAGGGUAGGAGACCUUGUCAGACUAUAGUCUAGGAUUUGCAGAGGAAGAUAUUUGAGGGGCAGCACUCUCUUUAGUAGUUUGCAAAAUGCAGGGGUAAGAGAAAAUUACCCUCUGCCUGGAAUAACUAAGGAGUUUUGAGACGGAAUCUCACUCUGUCAUGCAGGCUUGAGUGAAGUGGCGUGAUCUCGGCUCACUGCAACCUCCGCCUCCUGGGUUCAAGUGAUUCUCCUGCCUCAACUUCCCAAGUAGCUGGGAUUACAGGCACCCAUCACCACAUUGGGCUAAUUUUUGUAUUUUUAGUAGAGACAAGUUUUCACCAUGUUGGCCAGACUGGUCUCGAACUCCUGACCUUAGGCAAUCCGCCCACCUCAGCCUCCGAAAAUGCUGGGAUUACAGAAGUGAGCCACCGCACCUGGCCCAAGGAUUCCUAUUUGGAUUGAAUAUCAAGGCUUGCUAGGAAAGACAGCCAACAAGUCACCAAGUUAAUAGAAGGACAAUGAUGCUUCCUUUUUCUCCUCAAAAUCUUCCUUCGCUACUAAAAGAUCUAAGUUCGGGAAAACAAUUGGUACAGGAUGUGCAGCUUGAAGAAGCUGAGGGGAUGAGUAUACUAAAUAUGCCACACUGUCUGCACCAUGCCAGGUAGUCUAGUAUGUAUUGGGUUCCAUUGAGACUGAUGCUGCAUUGAAUUCUGAUGAUACAGUUCGCUGCGCUUGUCCACUCUGGUCUGUAGGAGAAUUGCCACAGUCUUAUGAAUAUAAGGCUGGGUUUGGAGGGGGUCAGUUGAAAUUUUAGGAGUUUUCAUAUGACUCUUACUCUUUCAGAUUUGCUAUCUGCAAUUGCACAUCUGCCAGUGACCUCUGUCUGUUACUGAAGAAGGCUGCUGGCUUCUUUGCUGUAUAUCCUGAUCACGCUGACUUCCUUCUGCAACUUCUAGAUAAGUAAAUUUUUUUGAUUUAUCAGGAAGUGUCUUUGGUCUCUCAGUCAAUUCGAUUCUACUACUGACAUUUAUCAACAUGGUGGGUGUGAUAUCUUUUAAUCUAAUGAGCUAUAUAACUGCAUUUUCUUUUUGUUGUUG